CUUGAACCCAAUGCAAACAGGGUGGCACCGAAACCCCGGGGCCUUGGCAGCGUCUCCCAGGGAAACCGGAUCGACCGGGCUGGGGGACGCGAGGAGGCUGCAAUGGACACGCUGAGAUCCCUGCUCCGCCGUGCGUUAUCAAUCCAUGAGAGGACCUCUUAUCCCAUGACAGCUGACUUUGCUUAAGAGCCUUUGGUGAUGGACCUUGUCAAAGGCUUUCUGAAUAUCUUAGUACACUAUAUCCACUGGAUCCCCGUUGUCCACAUGCUUGUUGACCACCUCAAAGAAUUCUAGUAGA
Malaclemys terrapin pileata is the source of this 298-nucleotide long non-coding RNA. RefSeq lists it as uncharacterized. The transcript is spliced from 3 exons. The record is from RefSeq and is a predicted model, not a curated record. NCBI's taxonomy places the organism in Eukaryota, Metazoa, Chordata, Testudines, Emydidae.